GAUGAACGCUGGCGGCGUGCUUAACACAUGCAAGUCGAACGAAGCACUUAUGACAGAUUCUUCGGAUGAUGGAUUAAGUGACUGAGUGGCGGACGGGUGAGUAACGCGUGGGUAACCUGCCUCAUACAGGGGGAUAACAGUUAGAAAUGACUGCUAAUACCGCAUAAGCGCACAGGACCGCAUGGUCUGGUGUGAAAAACUCCGGUGGUAUGAGAUGGACCCGCGUCUGAUUAGCUAGUUGGUGGGUAACGGCCUACCAAGGCGACGAUCAGUAGCCGGCCUGAGAGGGUGAACGGCCACAUUGGGACUGAGCACGGCCCAAAACUCCUACGGGAGCAGCAGUGGGGAAUAGUUGCACAAUGGGGGGAAACCCUGAUGCAGCGACGCCGCGUGAGUGAAGAGUAUUUCGGAUGGUAAAAGCUCUAUCAGCAGGGAA
This 436-nucleotide ribosomal RNA is filed under the name uncultured bacterium. Its description in RNAcentral is "bacterial SSU rRNA". It matches the Rfam family "Bacterial small subunit ribosomal RNA", at positions 28 to 446 of the family's 1533-position model. The record is from RNAcentral.